RNAcentral lists this long non-coding RNA (5866 nucleotides) under Sus scrofa (pig). RNAcentral describes it as "lncRNA (ENSSSCG00000058034.1)". Lineage: Eukaryota; Metazoa; Chordata; Mammalia; Artiodactyla; Suidae. The record is from RNAcentral.
CACAGUGGUAGCAAGCAGGAUAUGGAAAGCUUACAUUAUACGCAGUUGCUAUAUACAGGAUUUGGGGCCCCUGAAUUCUCAGUGGUUGGAGUCUUUUUUCCUCAUUAAAAGCUCGGCUGGACUCUGCUAUCCUUCUCUACUUCCCAUGGCUGUCACUGCUAAUCUUCACAGAUUCAUCUUUAUUUUGAAGGUCAUGGAACUCUAGAGAUGUUUAGAUGUAUUUGAGCUGGCAGAGGAAUUAUUUUACUUCAUUCAUUUCUCCCUACAAAAGUUUUUUUUUUUUUUUUUUAUUCUGCAUUUUGCCAUUUUAUUUGACCACACCAGCAAGUCUGUUUAACUGAAUGUGGUAUUUUCACAAGGAAUAAUGAUCUGAGGGAAGGGGGCCUGUUCCCGAAAGUGGGAUUGUGGAUGCUAGUCUUGGCUCUGUUUCUGGGGUUUAUUAGAAGAGUGUUUAUAAAAUCUCUCUAUUUGUAUUUACCAAGAAUAUCAGUGGGGGAAGGGUCAAAAAAAGUCCUAGGACUCAGAAUUCUCUGAGGAUAAAUCAAUCAUUAAGUACAUCGUUUUUAUAUGAAUGGCCAAGACUUGAUGCAUGGUGUCAGACCACUCAGCUCUCAGCCAUGGGUCAGCAAGGAUUCAGAUGUACAAUCAACCUUCUUUCAUCCCUCAGAAAUACAUGAAACGCUAGUCAACUAACCAGCAGACUGCUCUGAGAUUUCUUGGGUAGAAGGAUCUGAAAGAUUUUACCAGCCUUUGCUCUCCUUUAAGCAUUCUAAGCCAAUUAGAAAUCCCAGUGAGCUACUUGCUGUGCCCCUGCAGAGGCAAUAAAGAGCACCACUCUUUGUAACCUCUGUCUCUCCUUCCCUCUUUCUUGGAAGCCCAGCAGUAGCUAUGCACACUAUGGGAGCUUAUAGCUUAUCAGAGGUAGAGGUACUUACUGUACAUUAAACAUCCAUUUUUGGCGGAAAAAAAAAAGCUUCCCCCCCCCGCAGAUGGUCUUAAACUUGAGUAGGGAGUUUCAUGCAUUCCAUAAAAUGUGAAUGUGUACAUUUGGGGGCUAGGGUGGGGAGGGGCAUGUAAUACCUCAAAGGGUCAUAGAGUCAAAGCUCAGUGAGAAACCCUGAUCUGAGGACUCCUUGCUGCGUGGCCUCAUUCAUUCCACGAUAAGCCAAAUGGGUACACUCACUCAUAUGGGGCUUGACUUCGAUGUGUUUUACAUAAAAAUGUUUCUAAGCUACAAGUUUAAGUCCUUUCAUCUGUUCAGAUUUCUGUAGAUGAACCCACUUUUUUAUCAGAGGGAGUCAAUACACAGUGGAUACAAAGUUUAGAAUUUGGAAUUUUAAUCUCAAAUUUGUCAGGGUGUAACUAAUUUACUUAUUAAUUAAUUCAACAAAUACUUAUUGAAAAUCUACUCAGUGUCAGUCACUAUGCUAGUCUCUGGAGAUAUAAUGGAGAACAAUGUAGACACACACUCUACUUUCUUAGACCUUAUAAGUUGGGUGUCCAUUACCGAAUAACUUUACCUCUCUGAGACUCAUUUUUUUUUUUUUUUCACCAGUAGAAAGAGGUUAUGGUAAGUACUAAAGGAGAAAUAUAUGGGAAAGUGCUUUAUAAAUUCUACUGUUUUAAAUAUAUUGAAGAUUACACACACACACACAAGUAGACACACACACAGAGUCACAAUCAUCUUCUAGUCACUGAAAAGCAUACUGAAGGCCUGAUGAAGUUUGCUAAAAGAGACUAUGACACAAAUCUUCAUAUUUCUAAGAAGGGGAGGUUGUGUGGAGACUUUCUUAAACCUGACUUAGGAUCCUGAGUAUGACUGAGGCUUUUCUCAAGAAUUUUUGUAAGGAGGCAGGCUAUAAAUUACAGAUCAGCCUGAGAAUUUUUGAUCCUCUCCUGUGUACAUGCACUCUUGGAGCAGCAGUAUGUGGAUAAUCUGACAGACCUCAAAGUCAAGGAUGGAGAUAAGACAAUGUGACACAGGUCAGAAAUGUGCCAAGGGUGCCACCUGUGGAAAUAAUUGCAGCAGGCUGGUCCUGUGAGCAUCUUCUCCCCAGAACCCCGGAAGUAAGAAAACACUGUGGGGAAAACAAGUUUUAAUGAGCACUUUGUGUUUGGGAGGAGGGAGAGUGGCUUCAUCUUCUCCUUUCCAUGCCCAGUUCUCAAAAUAAGCCUGAGGUGGGCACUUUGGAUGGAGUUGAACAGAGAAGAUGGACAGAGAAUGCCAGGGUCUGUUGGGAUGAGAGCCCAUUGGGCUAGAGUCUUCUUUCUUUUCUAGAGCAAGGACAUGUCUCAAGUUCUUGUUACAGUGGAAAGAUAAAGGUAAAUGGUAUAUAUACUAUUCUCAGAGGUGCUUAAACUAUGACAUCCAAGAAAGAGAAAGUAUUGUGAAACAGGAAAGAGAAAAUCUAUCCAUUUCUUCCAUAUCCACUGCUACCACCAUUGAUGGAGCCACCAUCAUACUGGGCCAUGGCAAAGGCUUCUUUAUUGACGUCCUAAUUUUUACUCUUGACUUUGCUUUUUCUUCAAGCUAAAUUCAGAUUAUGUCUCUCUCCUGUUUGCACCUAUUCUGUGUCUUCUUCUUGCACUUGGAAGAAGCUCCAAAUGCUUUGCUUUAAAAAGACCCUGCAUGAUCUGGUUUCUCAGAUCUCAUCAAAGUUACCUCCUUCCCUUCACUUCUAUUCUUACCUUCCAUUCACACUGGCCUUAUUGAUUUCCCAAAUUUCCAAGCUUCUUCCUGCCACAGGACAUUUGCAAAGGCUGUGUCCUCUGCCUGGAGGGCUCUUCUCUAGGUGAUUCUUCCCCACAAUCCAAGAGGCCCCCCUAACAUUCCACUUAAAACAAACCUACCUCCGCUUUCUUUUUCUUUAAUGUAAAGUUCUGGUAACUUCCUUCAAAUCAGCUGCCCUCGUUUAUAAUUUAUGUACUUGCUUAUUUGCUUUUCUAUCUCCAUGACCAAACCAUAGGCUUCAGGAAGGCCAAAUCCAUUAUGUUUACUCACCACGCCCUAGUGCUUGAACCAUAAUAUGACAUCCAACAAAUAUCCAUCAAAAGGAUAAAUAAGUGUUUGAAUUUCUUUCCCUUCAGUUCUUACCGAGAACACAGGCAAUGAUAUGGGCCAGUUUCUCUCUGUGCCUUUGCACAUGCAGCUCCUUCUGUCUGGACUGCAUUUUCCCCCUCACCCGCUCUCCAAACUGCCACUCACUCUGCUUCAAGGCCCAGAACCACCCUCUCUUCUUCUGUGAUGCUGCCUCUUGUCUCUCGUUCAUGUCUUCUCACUACCCAUGUAGAUGUCUAGUAGCAUUUAUGACACCAUAUUGUGACCGCAUGUUUAUAUUUCUGGACCCCUCUCCCCCCAUCGUGAACUCUCUGAGGAUAGGAAGCUUGUCUUACUCCUCUUUGCUGCUCCAGCAGCAGUGCCUGGAAUGCCACAGUCACAUGACACACAUUGGUGAGGAGCCUGCAGAUCUGUAUACAUUCCAUUGGAAGAGGCAGGGUGUGGGGACAGCCGGCCAGUCCCUGUGGCUCCUGCCAAGUGGCAGGAUUGGUGGUGGUGGUGCCUGAAAUCUGUUUCUCCUGUUGAACAAAGAGCCGUCUAUGAACAGGGAGGAUGGGACGCCCCCUCCCCUCCCUGCCGGCCCCCUUCAGAGGUGAAAGCAGCCUGUGUCAUGCCUCGCUAGGGUUUUCCUUUCCUUUGAGAGGAGAACAUUCUCAAGGCGGAUUUUCAAGCUGAAGUCAUCCAGAACAAAAGCUGCUUGCCAGCUGUGGCCCAGCAGCCCGGCGCCCCUCCCCCUGCAGCCCGGGUGCCAUUACAGCCUAAUGGAAGAGGGGUGGGAAGGCUUCCGGUGCAACAUCUGGCCGGGGCCACUGUCAGCCAGGGAGACCGAGACCAGAGACUUGCGCACCUGACUUCUUGAGGUGGUUGGAGGUGCCUCCAAAAGCACAGAGAAAGUGGGGAGGAGAAGCCAGCCUGGGGUGAGGCAAAUGGCAUACUAUUCUCAGAGGUGCUUAAGGAGGCACUGACAGCCUCCUUCCCUUGUGUGCUUUCCCUGCCGGCCACCAGACCUCUCCUUGGCCCAGAGCUGUGAACUUGGGCUGUUGAGAAUGAGGAGCCGCCCUUGUUUAGUACCCAGGGGGCUGAAGGGCAGGCUGGAGUCCACCUGAGAAGGUUGUUCUUAUUAAUUUCGGUUCUCGGUCCCAUCAGGAUUUCCCACCUCCUCCAGACAGUGUCUCUCCACUCCUUUCCCACAGACCCUUGUGUCCUCCCAUCUGGCCAGGCCUCUGAUCUUCAACAGCAGGACUGGAACACUUAGACUGUGUUUCUCACCUUUCUAUAGUCCUGUCUUUGCUCUCUGCUAAAGGCAGUUGUUCUGACAAAGAUUUCUGAUGGUAACACACAGCUGUGUUCAGGGAAGUUUUUUGUUUGUUUGUUUAUUUUAAUUUCAGCAGUGGCUUCUGAAGACCAAGCAAAGACUCAAAGGAGCAAGUGGAAAUAUCAGGUUCUGUGGUAGGCUUUUGGGGGCAGCCUUGCAUUGUAAUAAUUCCCCAAAUCAAUUCCACCUAGACCCUGACUCCAGGUCUGAUUUUUUUCUUUUUCCUUCUUGGGGCCCCAGAGUAUAUACCCAGCAAAAACGUGAGUUGGGAUUUUUGGAGGGUCCACACUGGUUAGUGAAGUGUCUGUAAACUAGCUGCAGACCAGCAGAGCAGACGUUAUCUUAAUGGUACCGAUAGAUCAGGAGUGUCACACAUCAUUAAAAUAGCUGAUUGAUUAGAAGAAAAUAAUUAGCUUGCCCUGCCUUGCUGGAAAGCUUUUUGACAUGCCAAGAAGGAGAUAUGGAAGGGACGAGGGGUCAUCCAUCUUUUGAUCAUUUGUUUUCCCUCCAAGGUGAUGAAAAAGGCCCUGAUAACCCUUAGGGAAGGGAAGGAAUAUAAACAAGUCCUAGUUCUUCUUUGCCAUUUACUCAGAGGGAAGCUAUCUGCAGACUUUCUGGAGUGUGGUGUGUUUAUUACAGUUACAUAGAUACACUCCUUUAAAUCAAACACUCUGUUAGUGCCUUGGAGUUGUAAAUCAGUGGUUCUUUUCAAGUGACUUGAUAGAAUGUGAUAUUCUGCUUUCCCUUGACAGGAUAUAAACACAGAAACCUAAAUAUUAUAAUCAAGGCCAGCCAUUGGCAGGAAGGGCUACAAAGAAGGGCGUGGGGAUUCUGGUGGCUUUUCAGUGCCCUCCUUGCCUCCUCUGUAUCUGCCUUUCUCUGGGUGUUCCUAACCAUCCCCUUGUUCACUUCGGAGAAAGUUGGUAAACUUAUUUAUACUCAGGAGGGAUAUGAUUUAAGGCAAUCCUAUGCUUAGAGACAUUUGCAUUUCUGCUAAAAGCACACAGAAUCUUAAGCCAAAGAAUGUCUCCGAUGUGAUGAUGGGUCUUCUCACUAUCUUGGAAGUCAUACUGAUAACUCAGUGCCCCCCCCCCCCGGUAAUACUGCACCCCUAGGGGACAGAGGAAAGAGCAAGAGCAGAUCCAGCUCCUGGCUUCAGCAGACUGAGUUGUAUUCCCCCCCACCUCCUGCCUCCCUUCCCAUUCUUACUCUCCAUUAUUGCUUCAAGGAGCUACAGAUAAAAGUACGUUAUUAAUCUUGUGUUAGAAAAUAAAAGGGGGAGUUCCCUUGCGGCACAGUGGGAAAGAAUCUGACCAGGAACCAUGAGGUUGUGGGUUCAAUCCUUGGCCUCACUCAGUACGUUAAGGAUCUGGCAUUGCCAUGAGCUGCUGUGUAGGUCACAGACGCGGCUCAGAUCCCUCGUUGCUGUGGCUGUGGUGUAGGCCGGCAGCUGUAGCUCCAAUUAGACCCCUAACCUGGGAACCUCCAUAUGC